GACGAACGCUGGCGGCGUGCUUAACACAUGCAAGUCGAACGCUGAAGCUUGGUGCUUGCACUGGGUGGAUGAGUGGCGAACGGGUGAGUAAUACGUGAGUAACCUGCCCUUGACUCUGGGAUAAGCCUGGGAAACUGGGUCUAAUACUGGAUACGACAUGUCACCGCAUGGUGGUGUGUGGAAAGGGUUUUACUGGUUUUGGAUGGGCUCACGGCCUAUCAGCUUGUUGGUGGGGUAAUGGCUCACCAAGGCGACGACGGGUAGCCGGCCUGAGAGGGUGACCGGCCGCACUGGGACUGAGACACGGCCCAGACUCCUACGGGAGGCAGCAGUGGGGAAUAUUGCACAAUGGGCGGAAGCCUGAUGCAGCGACGCCGCGUGAGGGAUGACGGCCUUCGGGUUGUAAACCUCUUUCAGCACGGAAGAAGCGAAAGUGACGGUACGUGCAGAAGAGGCGCCGGCUAACUACGUG
This 472-nucleotide ribosomal RNA is filed under the name uncultured bacterium. RNAcentral describes it as "partial 16S ribosomal RNA". It matches the Rfam family "Bacterial small subunit ribosomal RNA", at positions 28 to 507 of the family's 1533-position model. The record is from RNAcentral.